RNAcentral lists this unclassified non-coding RNA (334 nucleotides) under soil metagenome. Its description in RNAcentral is "partial contains 5.8S ribosomal RNA, internal transcribed spacer 2, and large subunit ribosomal RNA". The stretch from base 1 to 117 matches the Rfam family "5.8S ribosomal RNA", at positions 38 to 154 of the family's 154-position model. The record is from RNAcentral.
GAAGAACGCAGCGAAAUGCGAUAAGUAGUGUGAAUUGCAGAAUUCAGUGAAUCAUCGAAUCUUUGAACGCACAUUGCGCCCCUUGGUAUUCCAUGGGGCAUGCCUGUUCGAGCGUCAUUUGUACCUUCAAGCUCUGCUUGGUGUUGGGUGUUUGUCUCGCCUCUGCGUGUAGACUCGCCUUAAAACAAUUGGCAGCCGGCGUAUUGAUUUCGGAGCGCAGUACAUCUCGCGCUUUGCACUCAUAACGACGACGUCCAAAAGUACAUUUUUACACUCUUGACCUCGGAUCAGGUAGGGAUACCCGCUGAACUUAAGCAUAUCAAUAAGCGGAGGA